Epinephelus fuscoguttatus (brown-marbled grouper) is the source of this 2116-nucleotide long non-coding RNA. RefSeq lists it as uncharacterized. The transcript has 4 exons. The record is from RefSeq and is a predicted model, not a curated record. NCBI's taxonomy places the organism in Eukaryota, Metazoa, Chordata, Actinopteri, Perciformes, Serranidae.
GGAGAAGGAGAAGGACGAGGUGGAGGAGGAGGAGGAGGAGGAAGACGUGACCCAGCAGCAGGGACAGAUUGAGGUCAGAAUAGCUACUACCAGUGCCACCCUGGGCAUAUUUGGAGUGAAGAUUUGCCUUUCCCUGAUGUGGAGUUCACAUUUGUUCUUUUUUUUCAUUAGCACCAAGGUCCAUGCAGCCUUUUGUCUCUCAGCAUAUGCCUAAUUGUCUUAUUUGUAUUUUUAUAAACUGUUUAAUUGUGGCACUGUGGCCAUCUCCCCCAAGAAGGUCUCUGUGAGUAGUGAAAGAGUGUAUCAAUUUUUUUUUAACAUGGUUACUCUCUUCCAUGUAGGCCACUGCACUUUAUUUUAAUUUUUGAAACUUCACAAUGUGCACAUACAUCCUUUGGUAUGGCAUGUGCUUCCGCAUAUCACAUAAAUAACCAUGGUGGGCCGCCGGGGAUCAAAAAUGCCAGGGCCAUUUUUUGGUCCCAGUCCAGCCCUGGGAGAGGGGGUAGCAACACAACUCCACCUAAUGGAGGCUUACGGCGCCCCAGAUUCAAACGUCCAAAAACACAUAAUUGAAACCACAAAACAUCUCCAUACUGCUUGUCCGUAGUGAUCCAAGUGUCCUGAAGCCCCGACAUAAAAAGUUGUUUGGAAAAACGUCACUUGAACUCUGUUUUUAGCCUCAUUGUAGCCUGUAGCUCUAACUGCCUCUCUGUGCACCGUGCUCACGUGUGCGCGUGAGACCCACAAAAGCACGUGAACACACAUGAACGUGGUGCCCAUGUCUCACGGUCUUGUCUUGCGUGAGCAAGCGCACACAUGUGAGCGCGGUGUACAGAGACCCACCUCAAAUUUUCUGAUAAAAAGUUCUAAGACCUUGAUUAAUCUCAAAAAUGAAGCUCUUGAGUCUUUGCCAAACACUAGCCCCUUUUAUACUGCCAGAUUUUCCGUGAAUGUUGGGCCGUUUUGCCGGCAAGCUGCGAGCAUUUAGACGCACAGAGCCGGAUUGGCGAGUUGAUCCAAGGUGCCCAGUUUUUCGCCUCGUAGGGUAGUCAUAUUGGGGGAACCCUUUUGGUUUAAACAGUCCAAGGCGGCCUUCCACAACGGGAGGGGCUGUUGAAGACUUGUAGAAGGAGCUGUUGAUGAUGCCGCACAUGCGAGCCACUGGCGGUGGAUAAACAGGAAACAGCUGAUAGCAGGAAUUAGCGAGAAGCUAGUAGCAAGAGGGAAACGCAAACCUGACAGACACUGUAAAGAUGUAAAGAAAAAAAAACUAAAAAAAGCAACUGGGGAGACAAGGAAUUGCGCACCGUCCUUACCCUCGCAAACGAAGAGGCCAUUAACCGUCAGAUGACGGGGACAGUGAAGAAAGGACUGACUAGCCGCGGCUUCCCUCCCACGUCACUGUUUGUGUCACAUGCUGAGCUACACAUUUUGUUACUUGCUCACACCCCCCACUGCCCCGAAAAAGCACAUUCUGUAUAAACAAAGUAGGCAGGCGGCAUUUUGCCGCACUCCAUGAUUUUGUUUUUAUACUGCCAAUGCUGAAAAAAGACUGAUUGGGCUUUCCUGCAAAUUUGCACAACUGCUAGAAGGGCUACUCUCACCAUGGCAACACCUUAUUCACCAUAAAGCACAAAGUUGUUUUUAAAGGGGCAUCGAAUGGUUAGAAACUCAAACGUGGCACACACAUCAGAGGUCCCAAAUUCUGUUGUGUGAGAUGGCUCAACAGCGCCCCCUACAAAAUUUUGACAAAACAGCCCCCAAAGCUGGUUUGACUUCAAACCUUGGUCCGUCCCACUGGAAGAUAUUGAGGAAAAGUUAUUACAAGCUUGAGUUUUCAUCAAUCCGUGUGACCGUGGCAAGGUGUCAAACUCAGGUGUACCGCUACGAAACAGGAAGUAGCGCCCCCAACAAAAUUUCAACGAAACAGCCCCCGAAGUUGCUUUGACCUACAUGUACGAAACUCGGUAGGCACGUGUAACACUCCAAGACAUACAAAAAACCUCUUGGGCUCAUUCUCUAAAACCAACAGGAAGUCGGCCACUCUACAAGUGGAGAGAUGUCAGAGUGAGGGGGCUGUCUUGGUCAGGCACACCGAGCGGUUGGGGGGGUUCGG